RNAcentral lists this ribosomal RNA (1069 nucleotides) under Verrucomicrobiaceae bacterium. RNAcentral's name for it is "bacterial SSU rRNA". It matches the Rfam family "Bacterial small subunit ribosomal RNA", at positions 1 to 1084 of the family's 1533-position model. The record is from RNAcentral. Lineage: Bacteria; Pseudomonadati; Verrucomicrobiota; Verrucomicrobiia; Verrucomicrobiales; Verrucomicrobiaceae.
ACAACGGAGAGUUUGAUCCUGGCUCAGGACGAACGCUGGCGGCGGGCUUAACACAUGCAAGUCGAACGAGACCUUCGGGUCUAGUGGCGCACGGGUGCGUAACACGUAGGUAACCUGCCCUGGAGUGGGGAAUAACUCAUCGAAAGGUGAGCUAAUACCGCAUAUUGACUAUUGAGGACAUCCUCAACAGUUGAAAGCUAUAUGCGCUCCAGGAUGGGCCUGCGGCGGAUUAGGUAGUUGGUAGGGUAAUGGCCUACCAAGCCGACGAUCCGUAGCUGGUCUGAGAGGAUGAUCAGCCACACUGGCACUGAGACACGGGCCAGACUCCUACGGGAGGCAGCAGUGAGGAAUAUUGCGCAAUGGGGGAAACCCUGACGCAGCCACGCCGCGUGGAGGAUGACACUGCUCUGCAGCGUAAACUCCUUUUAUAUGGGAAGAAUGGCGCAGUUGCUGCGACGUGACGGUACCAUAUGAAUAAGCACCGGCUAACUCCGUGCCAGCAGCCGCGGUAAUACGGAGGGUGCAAGCGUUGUCCGGAAUCACUGGGUGUAAAGGGUGUGUAGGCGGAACGGUCAGUCGGAGGUGAAAGCCUGCAGCUUAACUGCAGAACUGCCCCCGAUACUGCCGAUCUUGAGUCCCGGAGGGGUGGCUGGAAUUCGUGGUGUAGCGGUGAAAUGCGUAGAUAUCACGAGGAACACCUAAGGCGUAGGCAGGUCACUGGACGGGUACUGACGCUGAGGCACGAAAGUGUGGGGAGCAAACAGGAUUAGAUACCCUGGUAGUCCACACCGUAAACUAUGGACGCUCGGUGUUGCGGUCUUAUGACUGCAGUGCCUAAGCAAACGCGUUAAGCGUCCCACCUGGGGAGUACGCUCGCAAGAGUGAAACUCAAAGGAAUUGACGGGGACCCGCGCAAGCGGUGGAGCAUGUGGAUUAAUUCGAUGCAACGCGAAGAACCUUACCCAGGCUCGAACGCUACCGGACAGCUCCUGAAAGGGAGUCUUCUUCGGACUGGUAGCGAGGUGCUGCAUGGCUGUCGUCAGUUCGUGUCGUGAGAUGUUGGGUUAAG